This 207-nucleotide ribosomal RNA is filed under the name uncultured bacterium. RNAcentral's name for it is "partial 16S ribosomal RNA". It matches the Rfam family "Bacterial small subunit ribosomal RNA", at positions 568 to 774 of the family's 1533-position model. The record is from RNAcentral.
CGCGUAGGCGGUCUGGUCAGUCGGAUGUGAAAGCCCCGGGCUUAACCUGGGAACUGCAUUCGAUACUGCCAAACUGGAAUAUGGGAGAGGGAAGUGGAAUUUCCGGUGUAGCGGUGAAAUGCGUAGAUAUCGGAAGGAACACCAGUGGCGAAGGCGGCUUCCUGGCCCAAUAUUGACGCUGAGGUGCGAAAGCGUGGGGAGCGAACA